RNAcentral lists this ribosomal RNA (427 nucleotides) under uncultured prokaryote. RNAcentral describes it as "bacterial SSU rRNA". It matches the Rfam family "Bacterial small subunit ribosomal RNA", at positions 355 to 774 of the family's 1533-position model. The record is from RNAcentral.
UGGGGAAUAUUGGGCAAUGGGCGAAAGCCUGAACCUGCGACGCCGCGUGAGUGAUGAAGGUUUUCGGACUGUAAAACUCUGUUGUCAGGGACGAAGGUGCGAUCUGCGAAUAGUUGAUCGUAUUGACGGUACCUGACGAGGAAGCCACGGCUAACUACGUGCCAGCAGCCGCGGUAAUACGUAGGUGGCAAGCGUUGUCCGGAAUUAUUGGGCGUAAAGAGCAUGUAGGUGGGCUUUUAAGUCCGAUGUGAAAAUGCGGGGCUCAACCCCGUAUGGCAUUGGAUACUGGAAGUCUUGAGUGCAGGAGAGGAAAGGGGAAUUCCCAGUGUAGCGGUGAAAUGCGUAGAUAUUGGGAGGAACACCAGUGGCGAAGGCGCCUUUCUGGACUGUGUCUGACACUGAGAUGCGAAAGCUAGGGUAGCAAACG